This 301-nucleotide ribosomal RNA is filed under the name uncultured bacterium. RNAcentral's name for it is "partial 16S ribosomal RNA". It matches the Rfam family "Bacterial small subunit ribosomal RNA", at positions 509 to 807 of the family's 1533-position model. The record is from RNAcentral.
CAGUAGCCGCGGUAAUACGUAGGUGGCAAGCGUUGUCCGGAAUUAUUGGGCGUAAAGGGAUCGCAGGCGGUUUCUUAAGUCUGAUGUGAAAGCCCCCGGCUCAACCGGGGAGGGCCAUUGGAAACUGGGAAACUUGAGUGCAGAAGAGGAGAGAGGAAUUCCACGUGUAGCGGUGAAAUGCGUAGAGAUGUGGAGGAACACCAGUGGCGAAGGCGACUCUCUGGUCUGUAACUGACGCUGAGGAGAGAAAGCGUGGGGAGCGAACAGGAUUAGAUACCCGCGUAGUCCCUGUCUCUUAUAC